GUAUAGAUUUAAAGGCAUUUAAGCCCUUCAAUUACAUUCAAAGACAUACAAUGGGGUGUAUAAUGUAUAGACCCGGGCUCUGCUGUAGAAUAAAGCUGACCUUGUGUAAGACAAAAAGCCUGCAGCAUUCAAAUCCAAAGUCUCCUUUGAAAAGUAGCGUCACCCAAAGACUACAAAAGGUUCACAGGUGGUUGAAAUGACUUUUGCUAAGCGUGCACAUGCCCCCGAAGGAGCCAGCAAACAGCUUCGCAUAGUGAAUUCAAUAAUGAUCCUUCCGCAGGUUCACCUACGGAAA
This 295-nucleotide unclassified non-coding RNA is filed under the name uncultured fungus. Its description in RNAcentral is "sequence contains ITS1". Lineage: Eukaryota; Fungi. The record is from RNAcentral.